Molecule: antisense RNA, 69 nt
Filed under: Actinoplanes awajinensis subsp. mycoplanecinus
Lineage: Bacteria; Bacillati; Actinomycetota; Actinomycetes; Micromonosporales; Micromonosporaceae
Description: ASpks TB sRNA
Rfam family: ASpks TB sRNA
Source: Rfam by way of RNAcentral
CUUGACCGAGCCCAGCCAGAGCGGCUCGGUGCGGCGCUGGCCGUACGUGGCCAGCAGCGCCUGCGCCUC